This is a small nuclear RNA of Nannospalax galili (Upper Galilee mountains blind mole rat), 107 nucleotides long. The record is from Ensembl. NCBI's taxonomy places the organism in Eukaryota, Metazoa, Chordata, Mammalia, Rodentia, Spalacidae.
AUGCUCACUUCGGCAGCACAUGUACUAAAAUUGGAAUGAUACUGAGACUAUUAGCAUGGCCCCUGCACAAGGAUGACAUGCAAAUUCAUGAAGUGUUCAUAUUUUUU